GCUAAACGCGAAGAACCUUACCAGGUCUUGACAUCCCCCUGACCGGCGCAGAGAUGUGCCUUUCCUUCGGGACAGGGGAGACAGGUGGUGCAUGGUUGUCGUCAGCUCGUGUCGUGAGAUGUUGGGUUAAGUCCCGCAACGAGCGCAACCCUUGACUUUAGUUGCCAGCAAGUAAGGUUGGGCACUCUAGAGUGACUGCCGGUGACAAACCGGAGGAAGGUGGGGAUGACGUCAAAUCAUCAUGCCCCUUAUGACCUGGGCUACACACGUACUACAAUGGCCGGUACAACGGGAAGCGAAGGAGCGAUCUGGAGCGAAUCCUUUAAAGCCGGUCUCAGUUCGGAUUGCAGGCUGCAACUCGCCUGCAUGAAGUCGGAAUUGCUAGUAAUCGCGGAUCAGCAUGCCGCGGUGAAUACGUUCCCGGGUCUUGUACACACCG
This 439-nucleotide ribosomal RNA is filed under the name uncultured bacterium. RNAcentral's name for it is "bacterial SSU rRNA". It matches the Rfam family "Bacterial small subunit ribosomal RNA", at positions 954 to 1392 of the family's 1533-position model. The record is from RNAcentral.